AGGUAAGCUACUAAGAGCGAAUGGUGGAUGCCUUGACUGGUAAAGGCGAUGAAGGACGUACUAGACUGCGAUAAGCUACGGGGAGCUGUCAAGAAGCUUUGAUCCGUAGAUUUCCGAAUGGGGCAACCCAAUGUAUAGAGAUAUACAUUACCUAUAUAGGAGCGAACGAGGGGAAUUGAAACAUCUUAGUACCCUCAGGAAAAGAAAUCAAUAGAGAUUGCGUCAGUAGCGGCGAGCGAAAGCGCAAGAGGGCAAACCCAGUGCUUGCACUGGGGGUUGUAGGACUGCAAUGUGCAAGAGGUAAGUUUAGCAGAACAUUCUGGAAAGUAUAACCAUAGAGGGUGAUAGUCCCGUAUGCGAAAAACAAACCUUAGUUAGCAGUAUCCUGAGUAGGGCGGGACACGAGGAAUCCUGUCUGAAUCCGGGUCGACCACGAUCCAACCCUAAAUACUAAUACCAGAUCGAUAGUGCACAAGUACCGUGAGGGAAAGGUGAAAAGAACUGAGGUGAUCAGAGUGAAAUAGAACCUGAAACCAUUUGCUUACAAUCAUUCAGAGCCCUAUGUAGCAAUACAGGGUGAUGGACUGCCUUUUGCAUAAUGAGCCUGCGAGUUGUGGUGUCUGGCAAGGUUAAGCAAACGCGAAGCCGUAGCGAAAGCGAGUCUGAAUAGGGCGCUUAGUCAGAUGCUGCAGACCCGAAACGAAGUGAUCUAUCCAUGAGCAAGUUGAAGCUAGUGUAAGAACUAGUGGAGGACUGAACCCAUAGGCGUUGAAAAGCCCCGGGAUGACUUGUGGAUAGGGGUGAAAGGCCAAUCAAACUUCGUGAUAGCUGGUUCUCUCCGAAAUAUAUUUAGGUAUAGCGUUGUGUCGUAAUAUAAGGGGGUAGAGCACUGAAUGGGCUAGGGCAUACACCAAUGUACCAAACCCUAUCAAACUCCGAAUACCUUAUAUGUAAUCACAGCAGUCAGGCGGCGAGUGAUAAAAUCCGUCGUCAAGAGGGAAACAACCCAGACUACCAGCUAAGGUCCCUAAAUCUUACUUAAGUGGAAAACGAUGUGAAGUUACUUAAACAACCAGGAGGUUGGCUUAGAAGCAGCCAUCCUUUAAAGAAAGCGUAAUAGCUCACUGGUCUAGUGAUUUUGCGCGGAAAAUAUAACGGGGCUAAAGUAAGUACCGAAGCUGUAGACUUAGUUUACUAAGUGGUAGGAGAGCGUUCUAUUUGCGUCGAAGGUAUACCGGUAAGGAGUGCUGGAGCGAAUAGAAGUGAGCAUGCAGGCAUGAGUAGCGAUAAUUAAUGUGAGAAUCAUUAACGCCGUAAACCCAAGGUUUCCUACGCGAUGCUCGUCAUCGUAGGGUUAGUCGGGUCCUAAGUCGAGUCCGAAAGGGGUAGACGAUGGCAAAUUGGUUAAUAUUCCAAUACCAACAUUAGUGUGCGAUGGAAGGACGCUUAGGGCUAAGGGGGCUAGCGGAUGGAAGUGCUAGUCUAAGGUCGUAGGAGGUUAUACAGGCAAAUCCGUAUAACAAUACUCCGAGAACUGAAAGGCUUUUUGAAGUCUUCGGAUG
RNAcentral lists this ribosomal RNA (1562 nucleotides) under Campylobacter jejuni. RNAcentral's name for it is "partial 23S ribosomal RNA". It matches the Rfam family "Bacterial large subunit ribosomal RNA", at positions 1 to 1599 of the family's 2925-position model. Lineage: Bacteria; Pseudomonadati; Campylobacterota; Epsilonproteobacteria; Campylobacterales; Campylobacteraceae. The record is from RNAcentral.